AUUGAACGCUGGCGGCAUGCUUUACACAUGCAAGUCGAACGGUAACAGGCCGCCAGGUGCUGACGAGUGGCGAACGGGUGAGUAAUGCAUCGGAACGUGCCCAGUCGUGGGGGAUAACUACUCGAAAGAGUAGCUAAUACCGCAUACGAUCUAUGGAUGAAAGCGGGGGACCGUAAGGCCUCGCGCGAUUGGAGCGGCCGAUGUCAGAUUAGGUAGUUGGUGGGGUAAAGGCUCACCAAGCCAACGAUCUGUAGCUGGUCUGAGAGGACAACCAGCCACACUGGGACUGAGACACGGCCCAGACUCCUACGGGAGGCAGCAGUGGGGAAUUUUGGACAAUGGGCGCAAGCCUGAUCCAGCAGUGCCGCGUGCAGGAAGAAGGCCUUCGGGUUGUAAACUGCUUUUGUACGGAACGAAACGGCUCUGGUUAAUACCCGGGGCUAAUGACGGUACCGUAAGAAUAAGCACCGGCUAACUACGUG
This 482-nucleotide ribosomal RNA is filed under the name uncultured bacterium. Its description in RNAcentral is "partial 16S ribosomal RNA". It matches the Rfam family "Bacterial small subunit ribosomal RNA", at positions 30 to 507 of the family's 1533-position model. The record is from RNAcentral.